CAGUCGCCGCGGGAAUACGUAGGUCCCGAGCGUUGUCCGGAUUUAUUGGGCGUAAAGCGAGCGCAGGCGGUUUGAUAAGUCUGAAGUUAAAGGCUGUGGCUCAACCAUAGUUCGCUUUGGAAACUGUCAAACUUGAGUGCAGAAGGGGAGAGUGGAAUUCCAUGUGUAGCGGUGAAAUGCGUAGAUAUAUGGAGGAACACCGGUGGCGAAAGCGGCUCUCUGGUCUGUAACUGACGCUGAGGCUCGAAAGCGUGGGGAGCGAACAGGAUUAGAUACCCGCGUAGUCCCUGUCUCUUAUAAA
RNAcentral lists this ribosomal RNA (301 nucleotides) under uncultured bacterium. RNAcentral's name for it is "partial 16S ribosomal RNA". It matches the Rfam family "Bacterial small subunit ribosomal RNA", at positions 509 to 810 of the family's 1533-position model. The record is from RNAcentral.